AGUAGUCAUGGUGCAUCAUCGUCUCUUUCUAAUGAAAGUAGUAAGUCAUCAUUGUUCACGGACACAAGUUUUUCGUCUGACUGCAAUGACAGUAUAAGCGAAAGGACUGGCUCAGUGGUAUCAUCGCAAACAUCUGACAUCAAACGACAGUGAGUACUCUUUUGGACAGGAUGAUGAACUUCUAGGCUUACCCCAACACGACCGUGUCCGUGAUGUGGAAAAUAAAGUCAAAGAUGGAGAUGAAGUUGUUCCCAAAAAUAAUGAAGUGUUAAGAGGUGAAGAGGGCAAUGGAUCGACAGACGGUGAAAGUCAAGCCAGUGAAGUGUCUCUCUCUUCUACCAGUCAUUCGACCCCUGAGAAUCUUGAAAAUGGUGAACUCGAUCAACAUGAAAGAUAUAAUGAUGAAGAACUGGCUGAGAGACUUAAUGAUUUGGAUCAGAACCUCUAUGAUGGGUGCCAAAUAACAAGGCGAGAGAGUAUUCUACUCAUAAUGGGACACAUCAUAAGGAAUCAUGUGAGUGGAACAGCUCUGCAGAGCCUACUGACAGUCUUGGAGGCACAUUUACCAGCUGGAACUGUAUUCCCUGCUUCCCAAUAUCUUUUUAUGAAGAACUUUAAAAACAGUGACAUCACUCUAAGAUUUCACUCAUACUGCCCUUCUUGUAUAACCUACAUUGGAAGUAAUGAUAUGUGGUGUGAAAAUUGUG
Long non-coding RNA from Neoarius graeffei (lesser salmon catfish), 707 nucleotides. RefSeq lists it as uncharacterized. The record is from RefSeq and is a predicted model, not a curated record. Lineage: Eukaryota; Metazoa; Chordata; Actinopteri; Siluriformes; Ariidae. The transcript is spliced from 4 exons.